AGAGUUUGAUCAUGGCUCAGAUUGAACGCUGGCGGCAGGCCUAACACAUGCAAGUCGAGCGGUAGCACAGAGAGCUUGCUCUCGGGUGACGAGCGGCGGACGGGUGAGUAAUGUCUGGGAAACUGCCUGAUGGAGGGGGAUAACUACUGGAAACGGUAGCUAAUACCGCAUAACGUCGCAAGACCAAAGUGGGGGACCUUCGGGCCUCAUGCCAUCAGAUGUGCCCAGAUGGGAUUAGCUAGUAGGUGGGGUAACGGCUCACCUAGGCGACGAUCCCUAGCUGGUCUGAGAGGAUGACCAGCCACACUGGAACUGAGACACGGUCCAGACUCCUACGGGAGGCAGCAGUGGGGAAUAUUGCACAAUGGGCGCAAGCCUGAUGCAGCCAUGCCGCGUGUGUGAAGAAGGCCUUCGGGUUGUAAAGCACUUUCAGCGGGGAGGAAGGCGGUGAGGUUAAUAACCUCACCGAUUGACGUUACCCGCAGAAGAAGCACCGGCUAACUCCGUGCCAGCAGCCGCGGUAAUACGGAGGGUGCAAGCGUUAAUCGGAAUUACUGGGCGUAAAGCGCACGCAGGCGGUCUGUCAAGUCGGAUGUGAAAUCCCCGGGCUCAACCUGGGAACUGCAUUCGAAACUGGCAGGCUAGAGUCUUGUAGAGGGGGGUAGAAUUCCAGGUGUAGCGGUGAAAUGCGUAGAGAUCUGGAGGAAUACCGGUGGCGAAGGCGGCCCCCUGGACAAAGACUGACGCUCAGGUGCGAAAGCGUGGGGAGCAAACAGGAUUAGAUACCCUGGUAGUCCACGCUGUAAACGAUGUCGAUUUGGAGGUUGUGCCCUUGAGGCGUGGCUUCCGGAGCUAACGCGUUAAAUCGACCGCCUGGGGAGUACGGCCGCAAGGUUAAAACUCAAAUGAAUUGACGGGGGCCCGCACAAGCGGUGGAGCAUGUGGUUUAAUUCGAUGCAACGCGAAGAACCUUACCUGGUCUUGACAUCCACAGAACUUAGCAGAGAUGCUUUGGUGCCUUCGGGAACUGUGAGACAGGUGCUGCAUGGCUGUCGUCAGCUCGUGUUGUGAAAUGUUGGGUUAAGUCCCGCAACGAGCGCAACCCUUAUCCUUUGUUGCCAGCGGUCCGGCCGGGAACUCAAAGGAGACUGCCAGUGAUAAACUGGAGGAAGGUGGGGAUGACGUCAAGUCAUCAUGGCCCUUACGACCAGGGCUACACACGUGCUACAAUGGCAUAUACAAAGAGAAGCGACCUCGCGAGAGCAAGCGGACCUCAUAAAGUAUGUCGUAGUCCGGAUUGGAGUCUGCAACUCGACUCCAUGAAGUCGGAAUCGCUAGUAAUCGUAGAUCAGAAUGCUACGGUGAAUACGUUCCCGGGCCUUGUACACACCGCCCGUCACACCAUGGGAGUGGGUUGCAAAAGAAGUAGGUAGCUUAACCUUCGGGAGGGCGCUUACCACUUUGUGAUUCAUGACUGGGGUGAAGUCGUAACAAGGUAACCGUAGGGGAACCUGCGGUUGGAUCACCU
This 1528-nucleotide ribosomal RNA is filed under the name Klebsiella variicola. RNAcentral describes it as "bacterial SSU rRNA". It matches the Rfam family "Bacterial small subunit ribosomal RNA". The record is from RNAcentral. Lineage: Bacteria; Pseudomonadati; Pseudomonadota; Gammaproteobacteria; Enterobacterales; Enterobacteriaceae.